RNAcentral lists this unclassified non-coding RNA (429 nucleotides) under soil metagenome. RNAcentral describes it as "partial contains 5.8S ribosomal RNA, internal transcribed spacer 2, and large subunit ribosomal RNA". The stretch from base 1 to 120 matches the Rfam family "5.8S ribosomal RNA", at positions 35 to 154 of the family's 154-position model. The record is from RNAcentral.
GAUGAAGAACGUAGCGAAAUGCGAUACGUAAUGUGAAUUGCAGAAUUCAGUGAAUCAUCGAAUCUUUGAACGCAUAUUGCGCUCUUUGGUAUUCCGAAGAGCAUGCUUGUUUGAGUAUCAGUAAACACCUCAAAGACUUCAAUUUGUUUUGAAUGGCUUUGGACUUGAGCAAUCCCAACACCAGUCUUUACGAUGGGUGGAGGGUUGCUUGAAAUGCAGGUGCAGCUGGACAUUCUCCUGAGCUAAAGGCAUAUUUAUUUAGUCCCGUCAAACGGAUUAUUACUUUUGCUGCAGCUAACAUAAAGGGAGUUUGACCGUAUUGGCUGACUGAUGCAGGAUUUCACAAGGGUCGGCAACGAUUCUUGUAAAACUCGAUCUCAAAUCAAGUAAGACUACCCGCUGAACUUAAGCAUAUCAAUAAGCGGAGGA